UACGUAGGUGGCGAGCGUUGUCCGGAUUUAUUGGGUUUAAAGGGUGCGUAGGCGGACUGUUAAGUCAGCGGUAAAAGCCCGGGGCCCAACCCCGGCGAGCCGUUGAAACUGGCUGUCUUGAGAUGUCGAGAGGUAUGCGGAAUGCGCAGUGUAGCGGUGAAAUGCUUAGAUAUUGCGCAGAACUCCGAUUGCGAAGGCAGCAUACCGGCGGCGAUCUGACGCUGAGGCACGAAAGCGCGGGUAUCGAACAGG
This 252-nucleotide ribosomal RNA is filed under the name uncultured bacterium. RNAcentral's name for it is "partial 16S ribosomal RNA". It matches the Rfam family "Bacterial small subunit ribosomal RNA", at positions 524 to 776 of the family's 1533-position model. The record is from RNAcentral.